RNAcentral lists this ribosomal RNA (465 nucleotides) under uncultured bacterium. RNAcentral describes it as "partial 16S ribosomal RNA". It matches the Rfam family "Bacterial small subunit ribosomal RNA", at positions 339 to 795 of the family's 1533-position model. The record is from RNAcentral.
CUACGGGGGGCUGCAGCGAGGAAUUUUGCGCAAUGGGGGAAACCCUGACGCAGCAACGCCGCGUGAGUGAUGAAGGCCUUCGGGUCGUAAAACUCUGUCAAGUGGGAAGAACCUAUGUAAGGUUAAUACCCUUAUGUACUGACGGUACCACUGAAGGAAGCACCGGCUAACUCCGUGCCAGCAGCCGCGGUAAUACGGAGGGUGCAAGCGUUAUUCGGAAUUAUUGGGCGUAAAGGGCGCGCAGGCGGUUUUGUAAGUCAGAUGUGAAAGCCCGGGGCUUAACCUCGGAAGUGCAUUUGAUACUGCAAGACUUGAGUAUGGGAGGGGGAAGUGGAAUUCCUGGUGUAGAGGUGAAAUUCGUAGAUAUCAGGAGGAACACCAGUGGCGAAGGCGACUUCCUGGACCAAUACUGACGCUGAGGCGCGAAGGCGUGGGGAGCAAACAGGAUUAGAUACCCGGGUAGUC